CCUACGGGUGGCAGCAGUCGAGAAUCAUUCACAAUGGGGGAAACCCUGAUGGUGCGACGCCGCGUGGGGGAAUGAAGGUCUUCGGAUUGUAAACCCCUGUCAUGUGGGAGCAAAUUAAAAAGAUAGUACCACAAGAGGAAGAGACGGCUAACUCUGUGCCAGCAGCCGCGGUAAUACAGAGGUCUCAAGCGUUGUUCGGAAUCACUGGGCGUAAAGCGUGCGUAGGCUGUGUCGUAAGUCGUGUGUGAAAUGCGCGGGCUCAACCCGCGGACGGCACAUGAUACUGCGAGACUAGAGUAGUGGAGGGGGAACCGGAAUUCUCGGUGUAGCAGUGAAAUGCGUAGAUAUCGAGAGGAACACUCGUGGCGAAGGCGGGUUCCUGGACAUUAACUGACGCUGAGGCACGAAGGCCAGGGGAGCGAAAGGGAUUAGAUACUCUUGUAGUC
Molecule: ribosomal RNA, 446 nt
Filed under: uncultured bacterium
Lineage: Bacteria
Description: partial 16S ribosomal RNA
Rfam family: Bacterial small subunit ribosomal RNA
Source: RNAcentral